Molecule: ribosomal RNA, 497 nt
Filed under: uncultured bacterium
Lineage: Bacteria
Description: partial 16S ribosomal RNA
Rfam family: Bacterial small subunit ribosomal RNA
Source: RNAcentral
GGUGAACGCUGGCGGCGUGCCUAAUACAUGCAAGUCGAGCGAACAGACGAGGAGCUUGCUCCUUUGACGUUAGCGGCGGACGGGUGAGUAACACGUAGGUAACCUACCUAUAAGACUGGGAUAACUUCGGGAAACCGGAGCUAAUACCGGAUAAUAUUUCGAACCGCAUGGUUCGAUAGUGAAAGAUGGCUUUGCUAUCACUUAUAGAUGGACCUGCGCCGUAUUAGCUAGUUGGUAAGGUAACGGCUUACCAAGGCAACGAUACGUAGCCGACCUGAGAGGGUGAUCGGCCACACUGGAACUGAGACACGGUCCAGACUCCUACGGGAGGCAGCAGUAGGGAAUCUUCCGCAAUGGGCGAAAGCCUGACGGAGCAACGCCGCGUGAGUGAUGAAGGUCUUCGGAUCGUAAAACUCUGUUAUUAGGGAAGAACAAACGUGUAAGUAACUGUGCACGUCUUGACGGUACCUAAUCAGAAAGCCACGGCUAACUACGUG